GUAGGGAAUAUUGGACAAUGGGGGAAACCCUGACCCAGCAACGCCGCGUGAGGGAAGAAGGCCUAACGGUUGUAAACCUCUGUCAUAUGGGAAGAAGGAAUGACAGUACCAUAUGAGGAAGCUCCGGCUAACUACGUGCCAGCAGCCGCGGUAAUACGUAGGGAGCAAGCGUUGUCCGGAAUUACUGGGCGUAAAGGGUGCGUAGGCGGCAUGUUAAGUUAGAUGUCAAAUACCCGGGCUUAACCCGGGGACGCAUCUAAAACUGGCGUGCUUGAGUGCAGGAGAGGAAAGCGGAAUUCCUAGUGUAGCGGUGGAAUGCGUAGAUAUUAGGAGGAACACCGGAGGCGAAGGCGGCUUACUGGACAAUAACUGACGUUGAGGCUCGAAAGCGUGGGAAGCAAACAGGAUUAGAAACCCCUGUAGUCC
This 426-nucleotide ribosomal RNA is filed under the name uncultured bacterium. RNAcentral describes it as "partial 16S ribosomal RNA". It matches the Rfam family "Bacterial small subunit ribosomal RNA", at positions 354 to 796 of the family's 1533-position model. The record is from RNAcentral.